GGAGAGAUGGCAGAGUGGUCGAAUGCGUUCGACUUGAAAUCGAAUGUUGUGAAAGCAACCGAGGGUUCGAAUCCCUCUCUCUCCGUCA
RNAcentral lists this transfer RNA (88 nucleotides) under Pseudanabaena sp. Its description in RNAcentral is "tRNA-Ser". It matches the Rfam family "tRNA". From Rfam's summary of the family: Transfer RNA (tRNA) molecules are approximately 80 nucleotides in length. Their secondary structure includes four short double-helical elements and three loops (D, anti-codon, and T loops). Further hydrogen bonds mediate the characteristic L-shaped molecular structure. tRNAs have two regions of fundamental functional importance: the anti-codon, which is responsible for specific mRNA codon recognition, and the 3' end, to which the tRNAs corresponding amino acid is attached (by aminoacyl-tRNA synthetases). tRNAs cope with the degeneracy of the genetic code in two manners: having more than one tRNA (with a specific anti-codon) for a particular amino acid; and 'wobble' base-pairing, i.e. permitting non-standard base-pairing at the 3rd anti-codon position. Lineage: Bacteria; Bacillati; Cyanobacteriota; Cyanophyceae; Pseudanabaenales; Pseudanabaenaceae. The record is from RNAcentral.